Molecule: ribosomal RNA, 253 nt
Filed under: uncultured bacterium
Lineage: Bacteria
Description: partial 16S ribosomal RNA
Rfam family: Bacterial small subunit ribosomal RNA
Source: RNAcentral
UACGUAGGGCGCAAGCGUUGUCCGGAAUUAUUGGGCGUAAAGAGCUCGUAGGCGGUUUGUCGCGUCUGUCGUGAAAGCUUGGGGCUUAACCCCAAGUCUGCGGCGGAUACGGGCAGACUAGAGGCAGGUAGGGGAGAACGGAAUUCCCGGUGUAGCGGUGAAAUGCGCAGAUAUCGGGAGGAACACCGGUGGCGAAGGCGGUUCUCUGGGCCUGUACUGACGCUGAGGAGCGAAAGCGUGGGGAGCGAACAGG